This is an RNA transcript of Bemisia tabaci, 3757 nucleotides long. It is a transcript of the gene named protein tumorous imaginal discs, mitochondrial, with no coding region annotated. Lineage: Eukaryota; Metazoa; Arthropoda; Insecta; Hemiptera; Aleyrodidae. The record is from RefSeq and is a predicted model, not a curated record.
CCGCGAAUGUAAAUAAAAUUGAUAAUUUGAUAACAAGAGCAAGAUACCCGAGCCAUGGCAGUAACUCGGAUUUUAACGAAGUUUUUAGUUAUUAAACCAAGUAUUGUUAACUCUAGUUUGAUAAUUAGCAAACAGUCAUUCAGUGUUCUUUCUAAAUGUGCUUGUGACUCGUAUUGGACCCAAGCAUCUCGUCCAAAGGAUGCCACCCUCAGGAGUUCAAAUUCACUAGGAAAGCACCCCAGAAAUCAGUUCCACACAUCAAAAUCCCUCCUGGGGAAGGAUUACUAUGAUAUCCUUGGAAUUCCGAGGAAUGCCAGCCCCCAAGAAGUAAAAAAAGCAUACUAUCAAUUGGCAAAAAAAUAUCAUCCGGACCAGAAUAAAACUGAUCCUAACGCAAGUAAGAAGUUCCAAGAAGUCUCAGAGGCUUACGAAGUUUUGAGUGAUGAUACAAAAAGGAAGCAAUAUGACUCAUGGGGUCAGACCUCAGAAGAAAUGGAUAGACAAGGGCGCUCAUCUCCGGGGAGCCAAGGACCAGGGAGACAGGGAUCCUACCAAACUUACGGUGAAUGGCAGUUUCACUCAUCCAUAGAUCCGGAAGAAUUAUUUCGGAAAAUCUUUGGUGAUAGAGGUCCUUUCUCUGUAUCAGAGGAAGAUUUUUCUCGGUCACAUUUUGGUUUUGGUCCUGCUCAAGAGAUCAUACUAAAGCUAUCUUUCGUUCAAGCUGCUAGAGGCUGUACAAGAGAAGUGAAAGUGAAUGUAGUUGACCCCUGUCCCAGGUGUAAAGGAAGCAAGUGUGAAUUAGGAUACAAACCCAUGAUGUGCCCUUAUUGUGAUGGCACUGGGACUGUGACGAUGAGCAAAGGUCCAUUCGUUAUACGACAAACAUGUGGGCAUUGCCAAGGCAGCCGUGUCUUCAUCGGGCUCAAAUGUGUCGAAUGUGCGGGCAAAGGCAAAGUUGUAGCAAAAAGGAUUGUUAAAAUACCUGUACCACCCGGUGUGGCAGAUGGCCAGACAGUACGAAUGUCAGUGAAUGACAACGAAUUAUUCAUAACAUUUAAAGUUGACCCAUCCGCAUAUUUCCGGCGAGAAAGAGCAAAUGUGUUUACAGAUGCAGAAAUAUCCAUAUCUCAGGCAGUCCUCGGCGGCACAAUACGAAUCGAAGGAAUUUAUGAAGACCACACAAUAUUUAUAAAACCUGGGACCUCUUCACAUCAGAGUAUCAUAUUACCAAACAAGGGUCUGAAAAAAAUUGAUGCCAUAGGCUACGGUGACCAUACGGUGCAAAUAAAAAUCAAAGCACCAGGGUCUUUAACGGAAAAACAAAAGGCGCUGAUACAAGCAUACGCAGAGCUGGAAGAAGAUACUCCAGGUCAUGUGCAAGGCGUUGAUGCCACCAAAGGUAAAGAAGAAAAAAGUAUGGCUGGUGAAGAUAAAGAGUCCAAGAGCUUGUUACAGAGGAUAAAGAACUCUCUUUUCGGCUAAUUGUUAACAGAAUAAUACUAGUCUUUAGUUUUAAAAUUUUACCCAAGAUCAAAAUGGAAGAAUAUUACGGAACCACAGGAGACUUUUUACAUUCAGGCAAUUCUCAGAGCAAUGCGUUGAUGUUACAAAAAUCACUGAAUGUCAGGUUUUUUGAAAAAAAACUUUUUAAAAAAAGGAAAAAGUUUUUUUCGCAGCAAAACUUUGCAAUCCCUCCAAUGUUUUUGAAAAGAUAAAACGUUUAAAGAUGCAUCAAAAAUAAAGUUAGGAAUGCAUUAAAAAAAAUUAGUUUUCAGUGAUUUUAGUAGAAGAGUAGAUCUCCACAGAGCUCAUAUAUUAUGGCAUUUUUUGUGUCAAAUAUUUUGGUUUCUUAAUGUAUGUAUGUAGUUAUGUACACCUCCCUAAUCUAUAAUGAACCAGGAAAGCUAUCAAGCUUAACUAUUAAGAUCUAGACUAUUUGAUUUGGCUGUGAUGUUAUGCAUAGAUUUCUUAGUAGUUAAAAGUAACCACGUCUAUUUUAAAGUUAACUUUCUUGUAUAAUCAUAUCUUCAUCUGAAAAGAAAACUCUUCUUUAAAAUUCACCAAAAGAAUUUUUUCUUUUGUGUCCUAAGCCCAGUGUGAACUCUAAUCCAACAAAAGCGAGCAAAAAGUUUAAUGGAAUGUUUGACACAGGAACAUUUUAUUCAAUAGGUAACCAUUGCCAUGCGAUAUCCACAUAACAACCAAUUUUCGGCGCUAAGUGGAUUGAAGAUGAAGUUGAUGUCUGAUUCAAGUUUCCAUUCUGUGGAUGGAAGAUGAAGUUGAUGUCUGAUGUAAGUUUCCGUUCUACUUUUAAUCCAACUGUCAUGUUCUCUUGUCAUUAUUGCAUGGUCCAGCUUUCCAUCUUAUAUAAAUUGAACAAAAAUUUUGACCGUUUAAAUUGGACUCUAAAAUAAUUUUAUUCUACGGUUUCUCGGUGCAAGGUUUCGUAAAGUGGGCAUUAUUCUGUCUGUCUGAAUAGUUCCAUGAAUGUGUGUUUUUAAAAUAUACGGUUUGUUCUUCUCUGUUUCAAAAACCCUAUUUUUGCUUUUUGCAAGGAGGAAGGAUUUGCAAAAGAGUAUUUUUCCCUCUUUCCAAAUUCAAAAACUUGUACAUUCAUUUCCAUCUGCAUUUCAUUUCAACAGUGAAGCCUUCCAAACUAAGUAUCUCGUUUGCAUUAUUUUAAAAAUACCGCUCCCAUUUUAUUUCUUUGAAGGAGAACAAAUCAACAUCAUUUCUUGAUGUUUUCACAGAAUUUUCUUCUCGCAAAGAGAAGAAAUCUUGGAAGUUUUCAAGCAUUGACGUUGUGUAGUUUUCUAUUAAACAAAUGAAGUAUUACAGGAAGUCUUCAACGUCGCAAACAGAGGUAUGUGGUUUGGAAAUUUCACCGCUGAUGUAGAAAAAUGUGUUGCCCAUUUGACUGGUCAUGAAUUUCACCUCUAGCAUUUGUAGAUAAUUCAGCAAAACAGUCACAUCUACAUGGCAUUGUUUCAAAUUCUCAUCUCCUGUCUUGAUUUUUCUGAUAAUUUCAUGAAAAUAUCUUUCAAAUGGGCAAGAAAAAUUACAAAAUUUGUCGAGUGGGGAUGUUGGUUGGUUUCCUUCCAAAAAAUUAAUGUAGGAGAUGAGAUUUUGAAACCCUGCAAUGUAGGCAUGACUGCUUGCGUAACCAUAUCCAUUUAUGAAUCGCAGAACCUAUAGCAGUAAUAUGCUUGAGUAUCUUUCAGUCUCAGAAGAUCUGAAUUUCAUCUCUGAAAUUCAGUUGGAGAAAUCCUUGUAAAUUCCAGCCUCAUGCCCAAAAAAAUACAAGGAAUACCUAGGUAUGUGAGAAAUUAGUAAAAGUACGACACAGAAAUUAAGAAAACUUUAUUGAUUGUGAAAUGUCGCAGUAAUUUUAAAAAUCAAUUCUUCUGAUUAAUGAAAAAAUAUUUUGACUCCUCCAGAGGCAAGAAGAUUAUUCUUGCCAAGAUUAUUAACUAAUCGCCUUUUUGAGAAGAACACCAAGAGAGAUCUAGUGUAAAAUAAGUGUCUAGAGUGAUCUCUUUAAAUCUCUUUUGCAAACUGUACACUUUUUCUUCUUAAAUUUUGUUACCAUCAACCGGUGUUAGUAUUAUCUGUUCUUUACAUCAAUGUUUAUUUCAAAUCAUGAUGUCUUUUGUAAUUACUGUAAAAUCUGUUAUUGCCUAGAUAGCAACAAAACUGGAAAUUGUUGAAUUUUGUAAAUACCUAAUUUUUCAAAAUAAAGAAGUCAAGUUUUCUUUAA